CACCCUGUAAGUUCCCGCGUGGGUUCGCGCCGCGUUACGUUCAUUCUUUAGGGCAGACGUGUGGUCUGCAGAAACUUACAUCCACCAUGUGAUCGGGAGAUCCGCCCCCUGAUGGACACCGGUACGUACCGCGGGGAUAUGCUUUGUGGUUAACGCGACGUCGGCGGCGAACGACUAUAGCGCUGGCUCGUGUUCGCAUGGUUUCACCGUGGAAGGGAUGUUCGAACAAUGCAGCGCCCCUCAAAAAGUAGCGAAUCCGUGCGGUAUUCUCAGGCUGCCCAGUCCGAAACGAAUGUUUGUGCGCAUUGCACCACUGCGCAGAGCCCAAUGCCCGACGAGUUCCAUUUGUUCGGAGACGCAGGCAUCUACCUGUGGGCGAUCAUAGGUUGCGGAGCCGGCAUCGCCGUGCUUCUUAUUUUCCUGGUUGCACUGCUCCUGCUGCUACGACGAAAGACUGCCAACGGGAAGAAAAGCUCCAUCCGUGAUACAGAGCAGGAACAAUGCCGCAUAACUCAGGGUGCGGUUCGCCGCGAGUACUUACGAGGUCGGUCCAAUGACGCCGGCCUGUUCGGGCCAUUGUCACAACAAGGCUCCAGGAGCCCCAUGGCACCUGGUCCCGAUUCCAUGCCAGGACUCAGCGCCGAAGCAGUGCAACCUGGACCUCGUUCGCCCUUCGUACGCUGGAACACCUUUUGUGCUCCCGACCCCUCAGGUUCCCACAACGAAAGUAUGCCCUUCGAGGAUGCUAGCUACAGACGCAGGUUCUCGGAUGACGAAGAGGAUACUGUUCCCCCUUGUACCAACGGGAGGCUCUGGUUCUCUGUUCUUUACAACGACGAGACAGAAGAACUGUUCAUUCGAGUAAUCAGGGCCCGGUACCUUCCUGGUCGUGGUCUUACGAACGCACCUCGUGAUCCGUUUAUUCGCGCUUAUCUGCUGCCUGAUGAAGAGAACUUCAGACAGACACAGACAAAGAGACGGACGCUGUGCCCAAGGUACGACGAGACCCUCACGUUCAAGAUUAAUCUACAGGAAGCACGCCUGAGGACCUUGAGGCUGUCUGCUUACGACAUUGACCGCAAGAAGAUCAGGCACUGUCUGGGCCACGUGACUUACUCGCUUGAAGGGGCCGACCUAAUUUCCAACGAGGAGAUAGAAAUGGAUUUGGAAAACGUUCCUAAGAAGACGUCGAAAAUUGGCGAAAUCCACGUGUGCUUGACAUCCAACCCGUUCAGCAACCGAGUGAAAGUGACAAGCAUGAAACUACGGAAGCUGUCUUUACAGAAAGGGACACGAGUGUACGUCAAGGUAAGCUUAAACCAUGGCCGUAACGUGGUGAAGGAAAAGCGGACGACAGAGCGGCCAGCAGCACCGGACAUCGUGGCGUUCAGCGAGGCCUUCUCGUUCGGAGUCGCUGGAAAGUACUUGGAGUCGUGCAGCCUCUGCUUCGUCAUCAUAGCCGUCACCGAUGCAGGCGAUGACGUUAGGCUGGGAAAAACUGCCCUGGGACCUUUCAUGUACGCCAGAGGGGACGAACACCGACACUGGCAGGAGAUGCUUUCCAACCCUCGUAGUCCAAUCAGCAAGUGGCACGCGCUAGAUCCCCCUUCGGAACCCGAACAGUAACACCACUUGGCAAGUCGUCGGUAAGCCGCGCCAGCGCAGCGUUAAUGCUUAGCGCACUGGUACUGACCAGUACAGUACUCAACAGUCCUGUCCCCGAGAGGUGCAGGUUGGAUUGCUGCCGCUCUCCGGCUUUUUCGACGACUGCCAUAUUUCAGCCUCUCACACUCCUGUUCGUACUCAGCCGUAAGUGGUCCUGGUGUGCCCGCUUCUGGAAUGGAGUUAGUGCGUGCUCUCUGGAAUUUCAUUUCGAUGAGCUUGUGAUGACACCUCCGAAACGAGAGGGUACACACAAAAGGGUACACGAAAUAAUUAGAAUCCUCGAAACUCAUAUUUUAGGUGAUUACCGUAAUUUCACGCGUAUAAGCCGCGCCGCAGAUAAGCCGCAGGACGCGUUUUUUGGGACGUUUUGAAAAUUUUCUGGCAGAUAAGCCGCACCCGCAGAUAAGCCGCGGGCAAUACGAGACGACUGAUUUGUGCGACAAAGGAGACCAUAGAGAAGGCCAUAAACCCUGUGGUCCAUACUCCGGGAUCGGCACAGUGUACAACAGAGGAGGUCAGUUCUGGAGUUCUACCAAGAUCGGAUUGUGCACUUGUCGGGUGUUUUUCGUGGGCUGAUGGGUCAGUGAUCUUCCAGAAGACGUGAGUCACUGUCACCACUUUCCUUAAAGCUGCUUGGGGGAAUGCACCAGGAGGAUCAAUCUACUCGAAUGUGGACCCGUCCCAGUUACGCACUGUUCGUGCAUCGGCAGGGCAGUGCUGUUCCAGAGACACUGCCGGCCCUUUCGUUAAAAUCGGCGUAUGGGGAAAAUACCAGGAAAAAAUAGUCAUCAGAUAAGCCGCACCGGUGAAUAAGCCGCAGGGCGCCCGUGAGGAAAAAAAAUCGCGCAUAAGCCGUGGCUAAUACGCGUGAAAAUACGGUAUAAUAAAACGUGAGCGCGAUUGGAGGUAUAGACCUGAGGCCUCAAACUCAAAUCGAGUCGCGGGCUGCGUUUACCUCUACGCCAUGGAGUGCCACGCAGAAAAGAUGUGAUCGUACCGUAACAUACCUGCAAAACUAAGAACAGGAGCGGUGUUCUUAUCGUCAAGCCUGUCGGUGGUGCAACUCAAUGAUUCUGCUUGAAGUACAAAGAGAAAUAAGCUGCCUUCCCAAAUGAGCAGAAGCGCCGAAAUCGACCUCUUCUUUUCGCACUGUAUUGUAAGUAUCUCUUACGGAUCUAAAUCCUGAAAAGUCUUUAUAAAGUCCGUAAUUCAUCGUCUGCAUGAGGCUCGAUGUCCCGCUAGCAGAAGUUCGUGUACAAGGUCGGAGUAUAGCUGGAAAGCACAGUUGUCAAGCUUGUGGAACACCGGAGGACGCAGAGCAGCUACUGGAGCACUGCUAAAGAGGCACAAAAGUACGAAAAUUUCUUUCGCUCAUAACUCACGAACGGUGCAACCGAUGAAGUCCGUUCUUUUACAAAUCAAUCAAUCCGUUCUUUUUGCGUUGUUGUCAAGGCAACUGCAUCCUUCAGUCCACGACAAGAAAUUUUUGCCACUUCAGUGCCCCUUUAGUUUCGCCUUCUGAUAUUCGACAAUCCGGGUAACAGUGGAUAUGGCAAGGAGCCUAUAUAGAGGUGGCUCAACCACCUCUGUCUUUCUUUCGUAUUUCAAUCUCUCUAAUGGAGCAAUGCCAACUUUCAGCGUACCUAUUUACCCACGCCGUUUCAAACGAUAUAAAUAAAUAUGAGAGUACAGCGAAGCGCUCACAGCCUUCGUCUGACGUAUUUUGCUGACGCAGGCUUUCCUGUAUAAUGUAAACUUCGUGACGUCUCGCUUUUGAAGCAGCUUCUAAUUUUUUAGUACCCAGGUGUGGGCGGCCAUAGUAAUACUUUGUGUUAUAGUACUAGUUCUUCUAUGCUUUCGAGUGUUUGUAAAAUGUAUUAUAAUUCUCUAGAAGAUAUAAUACUGAUUUCUAACAAGAAUAAUGUAUUUACAUUACAUAAAAUGUGUGUAAGUAUUAUUGCCAACCCCUCAAGACGUUCUCACAAGACUUAUUGUUUUGGAUCCGACCCAAAUCCAGAGUCAUUUCACAUAAUACGAUUUAUAAGUUUAUUUAUUCUAUACGAAAGAUUGUAUAUGUUGUCGCUAGCAGAUAGGCCAUCCGAUUGGCCAUGGCAGGUUGGUAGCCGCCACAUUGUAGGUCCUAAGGUUUCGACUGUCCAGGACUUCACCUACAUCGCAUUCACCGUGCAUUGAGUGUUCCAAAGUUAUUGUACUGUGUGAAUAUUAUUUUUACAAUAAUCCGAGAGAUUUCCCUGUCUUCAACGUCACUGGUAUAAUCUAGGUAUACUAAGGUACUACUGGUAUACUGGUAUACUCGUUUUCGUUAGCUGGUAUACAGGGUGUUUGCCCUAACGUGUCCAGAAAUUAUAUUUAAAGCGAGAAAUAAAAGAAAAGCAAGUGGUA
Molecule: RNA transcript, 4068 nt
Organism: Ornithodoros turicata
Lineage: Eukaryota; Metazoa; Arthropoda; Arachnida; Ixodida; Argasidae
Gene name: synaptotagmin-15-like
Exons: 9
Source: RefSeq, a predicted model, not a curated record